GAAGCAUGUUCUUUGAGGGGAAUGUUGUUUGGCACGAGGCCACCAACUUUGGCAGAAGAGAAAUAUAUAAUUUGAUGGGUGUAUGUAUAUAUGUAUAUGUUUGUGCUCUCGGACCAGGCUUCAUUCCCCUCAAUUGCUGCUUC
This 143-nucleotide microRNA precursor is filed under the name Fragaria vesca subsp. vesca. RNAcentral describes it as "Fragaria vesca miR166f stem-loop (fve-MIR166f)". Its record names the gene fve-MIR166f. The stretch from base 12 to 134 matches the Rfam family "mir-166 microRNA precursor family". From Rfam's summary of the family: This family represents the plant microRNA (miRNA) precursor mir-166. Animal miRNAs are transcribed as ~70nt precursors and subsequently processed by the Dicer enzyme to give a ~22nt product. The record is from miRBase by way of RNAcentral. Lineage: Eukaryota; Viridiplantae; Streptophyta; Magnoliopsida; Rosales; Rosaceae.